UUGUUCCACAUUAUGUCGUGUUACAGCCUUAUUCGCAUUCAUUUUCACACCGUAUUCUAACGCAGUAACUUCAAUGAGAAAGUGAAAAAAGUCUGCGUUAAAUUCUUGCAAAUUUUGCCCAAGCGUCACACAAAUGGGUAGCUUUACUGUAGCCUACCGAAACAAACCGAAACAAACUACAGAAACAAACAAAAGAUUUUAUGAUAAAAGCAAACUGAAGCACUCUGAAAAAAACUCCCAAAAGGUCUCAUAUUGCUGAUACUAGUAUAGCCAUCCAUAGUAGUACUAAUAGAGUUCUAACGUCAUCUCGCCCACAUCCUGCCUUUUAAUCAGUGUAAAUAUAGUUGUGAAUGAAUUCUCUGCCACUUAUGAAGAGGUGAUGUGUGAACCUCUGAACCGAGGGGCUAGACCUGACAUAAGCUCUGUCUGAAGAGAUCCGUUUUAGCUGGAAACGCUCUUGGCCACUGAUUCCUAAAUAUUGAUUCUGUAGUUUUCAAGUUUGCCAAACCACAAAGAAUUUCACUGAAAAACAUUACAUUUCUAUUAGAUUCGUCUCCCUGAGACCCUUACAGAGUCUUGUUAUUGAUAGGGUUUUUUUCCAUGUGGUAGUUAACCGCUAGGGUUAAUGUAAAAGCCACAGUCUGACGCUCUUAUCUGGUUGGGCCCUUGAAGGUUGAAGGUUUGCAUGACCACAAAUUAUGAAACAGCUGCCUGCAGACAGAAGAACAGUGUUGAAAUUCAUUCAGUGCUGAAACUGCACUAAAUGAAUUUGGACAACCAAAGCAUGCUAGUGAAUAUAACCAGUGAUACAUGUUACAAACUCAGGAAACAGGAAACCACCCUGACAAUCAAAACAUCAGCAACGUGCUGCUAAAAAGCCAAGCUGCAGCACAUCUUAAGUCUUAACACACAAAACCCCAAAGAAUCUUCAUUUCAUGGAAGCAUUUCUCUUGCGGCAUUCAGGAAACGAAAGAAAACAGGUUAAGCUCGAAUGUUUUAGAAAACUUUUGCACUGUGUAAGAAACUGCAGGAACUGGAUCUCGUGUGAGCAAACAUCAUGCCCAGAAACCUGCAAACUGCAUCAGAAAUCUUGUUAAAAUGAAACUGAGUGACUCUGAGAUUUCUGAGCAGAGAGGAUAAAGACGGAGCCGAACAAGAGAGAGUGAGAAUGUGAGUGAUUUAUCUUCUGGAUCAGCGAGCUUCAGUUUCAUUUCAGUUCAAACCUUCUGUGACAAAUGACUGUGGGUGAGGCGGUGCUUGACACUGUGCUCAGUUGUUGUUGAAGUUAAUGCAAAAAGAAAAAAACCCAAACAGAAAUUCACAAAGUUCAACAGUGAUCCAGAGGGCACUCUGGUUAAAUGUUUUGUUUUCAGUUCUUAUAAAUGGACCAACUGUGUACCAACAGUGCAAAACUGUAAUCAGCAAAAAUACACGUCAUAAGUGUCCAUUAUGGCUUUUUAAGAGGCAGACAUGCCUCUUUGACACAGCAGAAACACAAACAGAGUCAGCACUGGAGAAUGUCACAGAACAGGUUGGUUCUUCCAGGUUUUUCUGUCUGUGUUUGAUGCAUGAUCACAUGGAAAAAAGCCGAGUCUUUGCCACAGAGUCAGGAGGACAGUGGUGUUAUCUGAUGUGGAUUCUUAAGAGACUUUCCAUAAGGGUAUGUGUUGUGUAAAUGUUCAUUAUUAGCAGUCUCGGGUUUAAGCUCGGCACAGACGACACGGAACGUCAACUGAAACAUUUGCUCAGUCUGACUGUGGAGAGCACUCGCGGUCAGCAAUGGGUGGCUCCACCUCAAAGAGAGCCCUUUUUUGGCCAAAGAAGAAGAAGAAAUCUCCUCUGAAAAAGACCUGGAGUCAACUGAAGAGGGUGCUGCCUCAUAAGAAACGCAAGAAGAACGCUCUGUCGCUGGAAAAACUGAGUGUGAAAAAGUCGAGGAAGGACAAGCAUUCCAAGAAGAAACCGUCACUGAUAGCAAACAAGAAAGUGCCGACAUUGCUGAAAAGACUCUCUGUGGAUAACACAAAAAAAGAGACGAGUCAAACUGAUUCACCGGGAAGGAAGGAGAAGGACAAAGGGGGGCUGGAAAGAGUAGGAGAGCAAAUAAAAAAGAAACUUUCCAAGGAUGAGAAGAAAGACAUUAUCAGUCAGACAGACACUGUUCCUCUUGCUGAGGAAAAUAAGGCAAAUGACCCAACAAGCGACACAAAGGUGCCUAAAAAGAAACUCAGUGUGAUCAUAAGAUCCAUUCAUCCAGCUGCAAACAGAUAACAACCACCUCGAAUCUGACAGGAAGAUGUGACAACUCUGUAAACAGGCCACAGGACAGUCAGGAAGAUACACGUUUUUAAUGACGUCACUCAGAGAGCAGAUUAUAACGGCAACAGUGUUACAGCCACGAACGCUUCUUCUUUUAAACAUGUCAGCUUCCCCCAAUGUCAAUAUUAAUCCGCUGCAAUAUUUUACUCAAAAGCUUUAUUCACACUUUACUCAGCAAUAAAAACGUGUGUGGAUUAUCAUCCUACUGACAAAUGUUGAGCUUCAUUUCCCCCUCCCUCCUCCAAAUUGCUACUAACUGCAGUUUUACUGAA
Molecule: long non-coding RNA, 2591 nt
Organism: Oreochromis niloticus (Nile tilapia)
Lineage: Eukaryota; Metazoa; Chordata; Actinopteri; Cichliformes; Cichlidae
Exons: 2
Source: RefSeq, a predicted model, not a curated record